AAACCGUUCAGGGGUAAACCUGAGGAACCCGAAAGAUCGAAUGGGAAGAUUCAGCGUCAGCGGCGAUUGCUCGGCGGAUCGUUGCGUCGUUCUCGGAACGGACUUUUUUCGGUCUUGGGACGACGCUAAUCUUUCCAUGCCUUGUUUCGUCGUCGUCGUCGUGCACUUCUCCCCUAGUAGAACGUCGCGACCCGUUGGGUGCCGGUCUACGGUCCGAGAGGAUUAGACUGUCGCGUCGUUUCGGCGCACGCGGCAGACCCUCGGUCACCCGGCCGGCUGCCCGGCGGUCGAACUCAUAAGGUAUCUUGCCGCAAUUGAACGAACUGCGUCGGGCCCGUCGCAAGCGAGGCCAGUGUCUAUCGCGCGGAGUUACGGACCUUGUGCCGUACCCGCGGCUGGCCAGCUGUUGGCAGGCGGAGUCCUUUGACGGGCAAUACACACAACGAUACCGGUCUGCGACGCUACUGCUUUGGGUACUCUCAGGACCCGUCUUGAAACACGGACCAAGGAGUCUAACAUGUGCGCGAGUCAUUAGGACUGCGAAGCCUAAAGGCGCAAUGAAAGUGAAGGUCGCACCGACUAAGGUCGACCGAGGGAGGAUGGGCCGCGUUAGCGCGCGGCUUUGCACUCCCGGGGCGUCUCGUUCUCAUUGCGAGAAGAGGCGCACCCAGAGCGUACACGUUGGGACCCGAAAGAUGGUGAACUAUGCCUGGUCAGGACGAAGUCAGGGGAAACCCUGAUGGAGGUCCGUAGCGAUUCUGACGUGCAAAUCGAUCGUCGGAACUGGGUAUAGGGGCGAAAGACUAAUCGA
RNAcentral lists this ribosomal RNA (811 nucleotides) under Apoica pallida. RNAcentral describes it as "eukaryotic LSU rRNA". It matches the Rfam family "Eukaryotic large subunit ribosomal RNA", at positions 402 to 938 of the family's 3401-position model. The record is from RNAcentral. Lineage: Eukaryota; Metazoa; Arthropoda; Insecta; Hymenoptera; Vespidae.